Molecule: ribosomal RNA, 460 nt
Filed under: uncultured bacterium
Lineage: Bacteria
Description: partial 16S ribosomal RNA
Rfam family: Bacterial small subunit ribosomal RNA
Source: RNAcentral
CCUACGGGUGGCAGCAGUGAGGAAUAUUGGUCAAUGGACGCAAGUCUGAACCAGCCAUGCCGCGUGCAGGAAGACGGCUCUAUGAGUUGUAAACUGCUUUUGUACGAGGGUAAACGCAGAUACGCGUAUCUGUCUGAAUGUAUCGUACGAAUAAGGAUCGGCUAACUCCGUGCCAGCCGCCGCGGUAAUACGGAGGAUUCGAGCGUUAUCCGGAUUUAUUGGGUUUAAAGGUGGCGUAGGCUGUUGGAUAAGUUAGAGGUCAAAUGUCGGGGCUUAACCCCGGGACUGCCGCUGAUACUGGUCGACUAGAGAGCGGAUGCGGCAGGCGGAAUGAGUAGUGUAGCGGUGAAAUGCUGAGAUAUUACGCAGAACACCGAUUGCGCAGGCAGCUUGCUAAUCCGCAUCUGACGCUGAGGCACGAAAGCGUGGGUAGCGAACAGGAUUAGAUACCCCGGUAGUC